Molecule: ribosomal RNA, 269 nt
Filed under: uncultured archaeon
Lineage: Archaea
Description: partial 16S ribosomal RNA
Rfam family: Archaeal small subunit ribosomal RNA
Source: RNAcentral
CAGCACCUCAAGUGGUCAGGAUGAUUAUUGGGCCUAAAGCAUCCGUAGCCGGCGCUGUAAGUUUUCGGUUAAAUCUGUACGCUCAACGUACAGGCUGCCGGGAAUACUGCAGCGCUAGGGAGUGGGAGAGGUAGACGGUACUCGGUAGGAAGGGUAAAAUCCUUUGAUCUAUUGAUGACCACCUGUGGCGAAGGCGGUCUACCAGAACACGUCCGACGGUGAGGGAUGAAAGCUGGGGGAGCAAACCGGAUUAGAUACCCGAGUAGUCC